This 890-nucleotide ribosomal RNA is filed under the name uncultured archaeon. RNAcentral describes it as "bacterial SSU rRNA". It matches the Rfam family "Archaeal small subunit ribosomal RNA", at positions 5 to 879 of the family's 1478-position model. The record is from RNAcentral.
CGGUUGAUCCUGCCGGGCCCGACUGCUAUUUGGGUAAGGAAUAAACCAUGCGAGUUGUAUGGGAUACCUAAAUAUCCCAUAGCGAACUGCUCAGUAACCCAUGAUCAACUUACCCUAUGGAGAAACAUAACCUCGGGAAACUGAGGAUAAUGUUUCAUAAUUGAAAAAGCUUGGAAAAGUUUUUCAAUGAAUGAGAUAAGAACAAUGGUUCUUAUCUGCCAUAGGAUAGGAUCGUGGUCGAUUAUGGUUGUUGGUGAGGUAACGGCUCACCAAGCCUAUAAUCGAUAGGGGCCGCGAGAGCGGGAGCCCCGAGAUGGGUACUGAGACAAGGACCCAGGCCUUACGAGGCGCAGCAGGUGCGAGACCUCCGCAAUACACGAAAGUGUGACGGGGUUACCCAAAGUGUUCACUUUUGAACUCUUGAAGGGGAGUAAUGUCCCCUACUAGAAAGGAGAGGGCAAGGCUGGUGCCAGCCGCCGCGGUAAAACCAGCUCUUCAAGUGGUCGGGAUAAUUAUUAGGCUUAAAGCGUCCGUAGCCGGUAUAGCAAGUUCCUAGUAAAAUCGGAUAGCUUAACUAUCCGUAUGCUAGGAAUACUGCUAUACUAGAGGGCGGGAGAGGUCUGAGGUACUACAAGGGUAGGGGUGAAAUCCUAUAAUCCUUGUAGGACCACCAGUGGCGAAGGCGUCAGACUGGAACGCGCCUGACGGUGAGGGACGAAAGCCAGGGGAGCGAACCGGAUUAGAUACCCGGGUAGUCCUGGCCGUAAACGAUGCACGCUAGGUGAUGGUACGGCCGUGAGCCGUACCAGUGCCGUAGGGAAACCGUUAAGCGUGCCGCCUGGGAAGUACGGCCGCAAGGCUAAAACUUAAAGGAAUUGGCGGGGGAGCAC